This 321-nucleotide RNase P RNA is filed under the name marine eukaryotic metagenome. RNAcentral's name for it is "Bacterial RNase P class A". It matches the Rfam family "Bacterial RNase P class A". From Rfam's summary of the family: Ribonuclease P (RNase P) is a ubiquitous endoribonuclease, found in archaea, bacteria and eukarya as well as chloroplasts and mitochondria. The record is from RNAcentral.
GCCAGAUAAUCGCUCUUAAUUGAGAGGAAAGUCCGGGCUCCUUUGGACAAGACGCCAGGUAACUCCUGGGAGAUGUAAAUCUACGGAAAGUGCAACAGAAAAUUAACCGCCUAAAUUUAGGUAAGGGUGAAAAGGUGUGGUAAGAGCGCACCGCAUACCAGGUAACUGAGUAUGGCAAGGCAAACCCCGUCUGGAGCAAGACCAAAUAGAAGUUCAAUAGUUAGUCCUGACUGAACUUGGGUAGGUUGCUUGAAUUUUACGGUGACGUAAGAUCUAGAUGAAUGAUUAUCCUAGACAGAACCCGGCUUACAGGUUAGCUCA